UGUGGUGUAGAGCAGUUUGGUAGCUCGCCAGGCUCAUAACCUGGAGGUCGUUGGUUCAAAUCCUUCCGCCGCAA
RNAcentral lists this transfer RNA (74 nucleotides) under Rickettsiales bacterium (ex Bugula neritina AB1). RNAcentral's name for it is "tRNA-Met". It matches the Rfam family "tRNA". Rfam says of the family: Transfer RNA (tRNA) molecules are approximately 80 nucleotides in length. Their secondary structure includes four short double-helical elements and three loops (D, anti-codon, and T loops). Further hydrogen bonds mediate the characteristic L-shaped molecular structure. tRNAs have two regions of fundamental functional importance: the anti-codon, which is responsible for specific mRNA codon recognition, and the 3' end, to which the tRNAs corresponding amino acid is attached (by aminoacyl-tRNA synthetases). tRNAs cope with the degeneracy of the genetic code in two manners: having more than one tRNA (with a specific anti-codon) for a particular amino acid; and 'wobble' base-pairing, i.e. permitting non-standard base-pairing at the 3rd anti-codon position. The record is from RNAcentral. Lineage: Bacteria; Pseudomonadati; Pseudomonadota; Alphaproteobacteria; Rickettsiales.